This is a long non-coding RNA of Bos taurus (domestic cattle), 761 nucleotides long. Lineage: Eukaryota; Metazoa; Chordata; Mammalia; Artiodactyla; Bovidae. The record is from Ensembl.
CAGCAGCAGCGUGCUUACCCCAAGAUGAGCAAGCUCAACAGAGGACCCAGACAGACCACCGUCCGCACUUCUGGGCGUCACAUCCGUGUCGAGUGUCCGGGCUGUGUCUCGGCGCUACUGCCGACCCGGGUGUGAGGGGAACACUGUCGGUGCCCUGAAAAUAGCAGGAAUCACACUGCUGCCCUGCAAGCCUGCGGCUCUUAAUCUUCUUAAAAUGCUUCCUCUGAAAGUCACUUGCCAAGCAGCAGCUUCACAAAUACUAUGAGGCCCCCAGGGAACGUUUCCAGGGUCACCACUACCUAAGUGGCAGGGGGUUGAAAAUGAUGGCCGUGUGGUCUGGUCUGAAUGCAGGCAGGGAAGCUUCCUUUGCGCACACGUUCAAAUGUCCACAAUCUCAGAGUUAGCUGGAAGUGCCUUACUUCACAAGGGCCCACAGGCUCUGCUGCCCAUGAUUUAUCAAUUAGCGCGAACGGGACUGAAAUUCCAGAUUUUUAAGACAACCGACUCCUCCCUCCCCGCCACUCCAGAAGCCCCAGCAUUCUGCAGCCGCAAGGAUAUUCCCACCUGGGACCUACAGAGCUCCAGGCCACAGCCGCUGCCUCUCCCCACCUUUAAGUGGAUUCUGCAAAACCUCUUGAGCAUUCAAUAAACUCUUACUGUUUCUUUGAAUACAUAAUUCAGAUCCACUAGAAAACUGAGGAAAAGUAUUCAUUUUUAAAGGCGGCUAGGGUCACUCUUUUGGAUGCCCUGCCAUUUAAUAC